This 749-nucleotide long non-coding RNA is filed under the name Mus musculus (house mouse). RNAcentral's name for it is "long non-coding RNA chr5:74060038-74060787". Lineage: Eukaryota; Metazoa; Chordata; Mammalia; Rodentia; Muridae. The record is from RNAcentral.
CUAACAUCUCCUGCUAGGCUCCACCUCUUAAAGCUCUCACCAUCCUACUGGGGAACCAAGCUUCCAACACAUGAGACCUGUAUCCAAAACCCAGUAGCUUGUAAAGGGGCAGGAGACACAUCCUAAGAGAAGAAAAUCUACCUACUGCAGGACUCUAGGACAAAGAAACGAAGACCCAGAGACAAAGACAGCAGGGACAUCCACUGUGCCUCUAUUUUCAACAGAGACUAUUUUAGAAGCUAUUGAACCUACCCUCGAAGAAGAGAACCAAUAUGGACCCAUCACCAAGUUGAAUAGCACUAUCACAAAGCAAUGGGUGAGUAAACUGGAUUUCUGAGUCAACCGAUUUGCAGCCAUAAUUGUUGAGCAAAGCCAGAGUUGCAAAAGGCCAGAUGGUCUUGCACAUGAACAUCACCAGACGACCUAGAGAACUGCAAAGAAAAGACGUGCAUGGGUAAUGCCACACCAACUCCAGAAAUGGUUUGUUCUGGGAGGAAGGUGAAGCAAAGAGAAAGGGUGUUGAAAGCUGGUUUCUAAGCAUUACGUCUGAAAAAAACAACUAAAUAUGACUACAUUCUAAUAUCUAUUAUUAACUCUGAAAAGUAGAUACCUAGGUAUAUGACAUAUGUUAUAUUUCUUCUUAUUUUUGUUGAGGCUUUAUGAUUUCAUUUCUUAAAGUUUCUUUUAAAAGCUUCACAAGGGAUACAUAACCAGUACUCAAGAAAACUCUGUGAGACAAGAAGAAAAUU